AUUGAACGCUGGCGGCAUGCUUUACACAUGCAAGUCGAACGGUAACAGGCCUUCGGGUGCUGACGAGUGGCGCACGGGUGAGUAAUGCAUCGGAACGUACCCAGAGGUGGGGGAUAACGCAGCGAAAGCUGUGCUAAUACCGCAUGUGAUCUGAGGAUGAAAGCGGGGGACCGAGCAGCAAUGUUUGGCCUCGCGCCUUUGGAGCGGCCGAUGUCGGAUUAGCUAGUUGGGGGGGGAAAGGCCUACCAAGGCGACGAUCCGUAGCUGGUCUGAGAGGACGACCAGCCACACUGGGACUGAGACACGGCCCAGACUCCUACGGGAGGCAGCAGUGGGGAAUUUUGGACAAUGGGCGCAAGCCUGAUCCAGCAAUGCCGCGUGCGGGAAGAAGGCCUUCGGGUUGUAAACCGCUUUUGGCAGGAACGAAACGGUGUCCGCUAAUACCGGGCGCUAAUGACGGUACCUGCAGAAUAAGCACCGGCUAACUACGUG
RNAcentral lists this ribosomal RNA (492 nucleotides) under uncultured bacterium. Its description in RNAcentral is "partial 16S ribosomal RNA". It matches the Rfam family "Bacterial small subunit ribosomal RNA", at positions 29 to 507 of the family's 1533-position model. The record is from RNAcentral.